UACGGAGGGAGCUAGCGUUGUUCGGAAUUACUGGGCGUAAAGCGCACGUAGGCGGCUUUGCAAGUUAGAGGUGAAAGCCCGGGGCUCAACUCCGGAAUUGCCUUUAAAACUGCAUCGCUAGAGUUGUGGAGAGGUAAGUGGAAUUCCGAGUGUAGAGGUGAAAUUCGUAGAUAUUCGGAAGAACACCAGUGGCGAAGGCGGCUCACUGGACUGGUAUUGACGCUGAGGUGCGAAAGCGUGGGGAGCGAACAGG
Molecule: ribosomal RNA, 253 nt
Filed under: uncultured bacterium
Lineage: Bacteria
Description: partial 16S ribosomal RNA
Rfam family: Bacterial small subunit ribosomal RNA
Source: RNAcentral